AGUAGGGAAUCUUCCGCAAUGGACGAAAGUCUGACGGAGCAACGCCGCGUGAGCGAUGAAGGCCUUCGGGUCGUAAAGCUCUGUUGUUAGGGAAGAACAAGUACCGGAGUAACUGCCGGUACCUUGACGGUACCUAACCAGAAAGCCACGGCUAACUACGUGCCAGCAGCCGCGGUAAUACGUAGGUGGCAAGCGUUGUCCGGAAUUAUUGGGCGUAAAGCGCGCGCAGGCGGUCCUUUAAGUCUGAUGUGAAAGCCCACGGCUCAACCGUGGAGGGUCAUUGGAAACUGGGGGACUUGAGUACAGAAGAGGAAAGUGGAAUUCCACGUGUAGCGGUGAAAUGCGUAGAGAUGUGGAGGAACACCAGUGGCGAAGGCGACUUUCUGGUCUGUAACUGACGCUGAGGCGCGAAAGCGUGGGGAGCAAA
RNAcentral lists this ribosomal RNA (427 nucleotides) under uncultured Bacillus sp. RNAcentral's name for it is "bacterial SSU rRNA". It matches the Rfam family "Bacterial small subunit ribosomal RNA", at positions 353 to 772 of the family's 1533-position model. The record is from RNAcentral. Lineage: Bacteria; Bacillati; Bacillota; Bacilli; Caryophanales; Bacillaceae.